Molecule: ribosomal RNA, 454 nt
Filed under: uncultured bacterium
Lineage: Bacteria
Description: bacterial SSU rRNA
Rfam family: Bacterial small subunit ribosomal RNA
Source: RNAcentral
UACGGGAGGCAGCAGGGGGAAUAUUGCACAAUGGGCGCAAGCCUGAUGCAGCCAUGCCGCGUGUAUGAAGAAGGCCUUCGGGUUGUAAAGUACUUUCAGUCGUGAGGAAGGUGUUAAGGUUAAUAACCUUAGCAAUUGACGUUAGCGACAGAAGAAGCACCGGCUAACUCCGUGCCAGCAGCCGCGGUAAUACGGAGGGUGCGAGCGUUAAUCGGAAUUACUGGGCGUAAAGGGCACGCAGGCGGUUAAUUAAGUUGGAUGUGAAAUCCCCGGGCUUAACCUGGGAAUGGCAUUCAAGACUGGUUAGCUAGAGUCUUGUAGAGGGGGUAGAAUUCCAUGUGUAGCGGUGAAAUGCGUAGAGAUGUGGAGGAAUACCGGUGGCGAAGGUGGCCCCUGGACAAAAGACUGACGCUCAUGUGCGAAAGCGUGGGGAGCAAAACAGGGAUUAGAUACC